RNAcentral lists this unclassified non-coding RNA (287 nucleotides) under Basidiomycota sp. RNAcentral's name for it is "partial contains small subunit ribosomal RNA, internal transcribed spacer 1, and 5.8S ribosomal RNA". The stretch from base 1 to 47 matches the Rfam family "Eukaryotic small subunit ribosomal RNA", at positions 1785 to 1831 of the family's 1831-position model. Lineage: Eukaryota; Fungi; Basidiomycota. The record is from RNAcentral.
AAAGUCGUAACAAGGUUUCCGUAGGUGAACCUGCGGAAGGAUCAUUAUCGAUUUUCAAAGGAUGUGCUGGCAGCCCUCAAGGGUUGCAAUGUGCACUCCGAAAAAUCUCCUUCUCUUACCCCACUGUGCACAACCCAGUAGGCAAACAGAUUCACAGAGAAAUCUGUCUCAUAUCAUUUGCCUAUGUUUUUAUUUCAAACACCAUUAACAUCUUGGAAUGAUUAACGUAGUAAGCUUUAACAAGCUGAAAUCUAAUACAACUUUCAACAAUGGAUCUCUUGGUUCUC